UGGUUCCGUAUGACGAGGAGGCCAGACCGCCGCCGCUGAACUGAUGAUGAUGAUGAUGUGGGUUCAAGAUGGGCUGAUCGGCGGCGGUCGUUCGCUGUUGCUGUUGCUGCAUGGCCGCCAACGAGGAAUGCACCAGGGGAUCAAAAAGUGACGAAAGGUCGUACCUGGCGGGCAUGGAAGCGGUGGGAAUGUCGGCGAUCGUUAGAGCCUGUGGGGCCCCAAGGAGGGCAGCGGAUGGUGGCGGCGG
RNAcentral lists this long non-coding RNA (247 nucleotides) under Linum usitatissimum (flax). RNAcentral describes it as "long non-coding RNA (LUSI_LNC000519)". The record is from RNAcentral. Lineage: Eukaryota; Viridiplantae; Streptophyta; Magnoliopsida; Malpighiales; Linaceae.